AUUGAACGCUGGCGGCAGGCCUAACACAUGCGAGUCGAGCGGAUGAAGGGAGCUUGCUCCUGGAUUCAGCGGCGGACGGGUGAGUAAUGCCUAGGAAUCUGCCUGGUAGUGGGGGAUAACGUCCGGAAACGGGCGCUAAUACCGCAUACGUCCUGAGGGAGAAAGUGGGGGAUCUUCGGACCUCACGCUAUCAGAUGAGCCUAGGUCGGAUUAGCUAGUUGGUGGGGUAAAGGCCUACCAAGGCGACGAUCCGUAACUGGUCUGAGAGGAUGAUCAGUCACCCUGGAACUGAGACACGGUCCAGACUCCUACGGGAGGCAGCAGUGGGGAAUAUUGGACAAUGGGCGAAAGCCUGAUCCAGCCAUGCCGCGUGUGUGAAGAAGGUCUUCGGAUUGUAAAGCACUUUAAGUUGGGAGGAAGGGCAGUAAGUUAAUACCUUGCUGUUUUGACGUUACCAACAGAAUAAGCACCGGCUAACUUCGUG
RNAcentral lists this ribosomal RNA (484 nucleotides) under uncultured bacterium. RNAcentral describes it as "partial 16S ribosomal RNA". It matches the Rfam family "Bacterial small subunit ribosomal RNA", at positions 30 to 507 of the family's 1533-position model. The record is from RNAcentral.